RNA transcript from Columba livia (rock pigeon), 7117 nucleotides. It is a transcript of the gene named glutamate rich 3, with no coding region annotated. Lineage: Eukaryota; Metazoa; Chordata; Aves; Columbiformes; Columbidae. The transcript is spliced from 18 exons. The record is from RefSeq and is a predicted model, not a curated record.
CGCCGCCCAUUGGCGGGGGGACCCUGGCCGUCCCGCCCCCGUCUCCUAGCAACGCCCGGGACGCUCCGGCAGUGCCAGGUGCGGCAGCGCCAGGUGCGGCAGCGCGGCCGUCGCCAUGAGCGGCCCGCCGGGACUUCUGGCAGCCUACAAUAGCCUUACAGACAAGCACCUGACUGGAUAUUUCAGCAAUGCCCGGAUAAGACGACACCUUCAGAGAUCAGGACUGAUCUCAAGGACUGGAAGACUAAUACCUGAGAAAGAAUACCGUCUAAAUGCUUUGAGGAGGGAUCACCAAAGAUAUGUACAGGAGUGCCUGGCUCGGGCCAUAUUCCAUAAGGUCCUUGACAUGGAGUGUCAUCAUCAGCUGGAAAUAAAAAGGAAACUUGAAAAUGCUGCGAGGAAGGAGAGGGUACAGAGAAUGAAGGCGGAGCAAUCCAGAAGAGGGGUGGAAGGUUUUAGCCCUAUGUACUCCCCACAUCCACCACUUGGUCCAAGAAAUCAUUCUGUGCUCCAUCCUCUAGUAGCUGGAGAAGCAGCCAGUCACUCGCAACUGAGGGCACCGGGACCUGCAGUUAGUUGCUGUGGUGGACGCCCACCUCCCCUGCACCGAGCCAAGCAGCCAGCCUAUUCUAAGGUGGUUUCCUGGCGCCCCAAUACGGCUCCAGCGAACAUGCAGCGCCCGGCUCGCCUGCAGCCCCUGCGCUGUGCAGCACCAAAGCCAGCCGGCUCCAAGCAGAAGGGCCACUCACUCGAACACCAUCAGCUGUUUGCCACUGGGGGGGAGAGGAGUGGGUUAAGGCUUAUGAAUUCGGUGGAAUACAUGACUGGUGUUUCUCCAUAUCAACUCCCUGUCAUUAACAAUUACAUGAUCCCAGUGCCACCUCCCCCCCUGCAAAAAGGAGACAAGAGUGGAAAUGUGGGGAGAACUGGGGUGCUUAGAGCGAGACAGUUGCGUCCCAUCACAGCACCAAACUUGGAGCAACUGCUAACAAAGAAUUCUGGAGGAUUCCCUAAGUCCUCAUUACGCAGCAACGCAUUAGUUACCAUGGGUUUUUUAGGAAAAAGUGUGCGUUUGUCUUACGAUGAUACUGAUUACAAAGAUGAAAUCAAAGUCUACCAGCAGCAUUGUGGAGGAGAAAACCUUUGUGUCUACAAAGGCAAGCUCUUGGAAGGAGAGACCUUUCAGUUUGUCUCCAGGAGACAUCACGGUUUCCCAUUCAGCCUCACCUUCUUUCUCAAUGGGUUGCAAGUGGACAGGCUGAGCUGCUGCUGUGAGUACAAACACCAGAAGCGCUCCAGGAUGCGAGGCAGACGUGGCUACUUCAGGUUUCUCAGUGUGGAGGGAGCGUCUCCUUGCUAUAGGUGCAUUAUUGCAACAGGUCUAGACAAAAAACCAUCCCCUCCCAAGAGAGAGGUGCAGGACCAUGGGGAAGUGCACAUGGAUUCCUGGGGAGAUGGAGCCUGCAGUGAGCCAAGUAAAACCAGUGCUGAGCCAAGUAAAACCAGUGCUGAGCAGAAUCCAGGCAAAGUUUCAGUGUUAGUCAUCUUACCAGGUCAUGAAGCAAGUGCAGAAACUAUUGAGGAUGAAAUGGAGACUGGACAGGAGUACAGAAAAGAAGAAAAGAAAAAACUACCUGAUUGUGAGAGUGAAGAUAGUCAGGAAGACACCGGUAAAAAUGAGUAUAAUGAAGAUUUUGAAGCAGAUGAAGAAGUUAAUGAAGAGGGACAGACUAGUGAUCAAAUGAAUAGAAUGUCGAAGUCACCCUCAGAUGAUAAAAAGCGUAAUUUAGACUAUGAAAAGGAGAGUACAAACUCAUCACAGAAGGCACGACAGGCCUAUGACAGUGAGAGAGAUGAAAGUGAUGGAUAUUCUGACAGUGACUCAGAGGAUGACAAACCAGGUGAAUUAAACAAAGGUAAUACAGCUGUUUGUGAAAAGGUUGCAGCUGCAAGAAAGAUCCAGUCUUUUUAUAGGAAGUAUAAAAUCCAACAGAAAUUCAAACCAGGUAGGAGGCUUGCACACUCCCUCUCAUCCAUCAGUACUCAAUAUAGCAGUGACAAUGACUCUCAUGCUGAAACGAUGAAAGACGAUGUUAAGGACACAGAGGAGUAUGACAUCAAAAGGGCAUCUGAUAACGUAGCACAUGUACAACAUGGAAAUGAGAGUGGGGAGAAUAAACUGCUCAGAGUGGAAGAAAAUCAGGAAACUUUUGCACUGGAAAAGGAAGGAAUAGAUGAAGAAGAAAAGGAAAACCCAGAAGACCUAACAGCAAGAGAAGAUACUGUAGUUUUUCAUGACAAUAUAAUGGCAAUACAGUGUCAGAGUCCUGAAGUGAACGGGGAACUCAGACUGGCUGGGUCAAUGGAAAGUCACACAGAGGAAGAUGGGGCGAAGAAUGGCAAUACCUGGAGGGAUGAUGGGGAGCAAAGUCUCAUAGUGCCUUCGGAAAGCAGCGUGCUGGAAGCGGAGGACAGCAGAGAGGAGUCUCCUGGGGGUGCCGGAGUGGUUGUUUUUGAGGAUCGCAAACCAGUCCAGGAGGAAACAGCAAAAGCAAUUGGAAAUGAUCAUCAUGUGAAUUCUGACCCUGAACCCUGUGAUUCUGGUGCAGAUGAGGAAGAAAGGAAUGUGACAAGUACAGAGCAUGAUGCCAGUGAAGCACCAGAUGGAGCUUUCUUGGCAGAAGGAACAAGAACACUUGACGAGCAGAAGGAAGCAGAACAAGUGGUACACGGAGGGCAGGUGGCAGGGGACAGACAAGCACUUGAGAAGGACGAUGUUGUUGUUGAGGGAGGAGAUGCUGGCACUGAAGAGGCAGGAGAACUGGCCCAGGUGGGAGAUGUGCUGCCCAUGGGAGACACAACGGCUGCGCUGCAGGCAGAGGGUCAGCGUGUGGUGGAGGAACCUGCACCCCAGGAGAGCCCCGUGGCAGAAGAUCCCCAGGGACAGGGCACAGGGAAAGGAAUGGACUCUGGCACAGAGGCAGCAGGCGGGGAGCAGGACGUUCUGAUGGAGGGGACAGAGAGCAAGGUGGCACUGCAGGAGCAGGCGCCUGUGGGACAGGAGCUGGCAGCAGCAGGCAGGGAGACGAACAGAGCAGCAUCCGAGGGCGAGGAGGAGGAUGGGGAGGUCUCUGGAGGAGAGGAGGCUGCAGAGGAGGAUGAGGCAGAAGCAGGAGCCGAGGCGGAGGAAGCUGUGGGACUGACAGGGUCUGCUGUGAAGGAGGAGCUGGGUGAGAUGGUGUCCAAGGAAGAGGAGGCCAUGGAGGAAGGAGGUUUUGCAGAGAAGGGCAUUGUGGUGAGUCCUGUGUCUGAGGGAGAGGAGGUGGUGGAGGAUGCUGACAUGGUGGAGGAUGCCGACAUGGUAGAGGAAAGCAUUGCUGGGGUAGAUGGCCCUAACGAGGAAGAGGCUGUAGAAGAAGCUGUUUCAGAAGGGGAAGAGGCUGUAGAAGAAGCUGUUUUGGAAGGGGACGAGGCUGUAGAAGAAGCUGUUUCAGAAGGAGAGGAGGAUGUGGGGAAGCCUGAGGGUCUCCUGGAAACAUUAGAGGAUACAAACAUUUGCAGAGGAGAAGCAAUGCCUGGAGAAGACUUCAUAAAGCCACAUGAGUUUUCCCAGGUGGAAGCAGCAGGGGAAGAGCAGUCGGAGAUGAGAGAAGCUGCCGCAGGGGCACCUGAGACCAGCCAGGAGUCAGGGGCAGACGAGAGCUCUGUCCUGAGAGCGGGGGAUGCAGUGGGGGCGGCUGUGCAGCCUGACAAGCAUCCCCUCUUGCAAAUAGCACCUGGGUUAGAGGCACCAGUGGAUGCUGGGGAGGAUCCCAGAAGUGAAGGGUCCUCUCAGCUGGAGGAUACCACCACAGGAGAGGAGGAGGAGGGCUCAGCACAAGCACUGUUGAGUGGAAAGCCGACUCCAAGCAGCACAGCAGAGGGUGCAGUGGAAAAUAAACCUGAUGGAGGGACCAUGGGAGACUCUGCAGAGACAGCCAGAGCAGAGGUGGGAGCUGCCGGGGAGGUACCAGGGCAAGCAGCAGGGCCAGGGGAGCUGGCAGGGGAGGAGGUGGCAGUGGCUGGGGACAGCAGGGUGGGUGACGAGGUGGUGGCACAGGAGGGAGUGACAGCGGCAGCAUGCGGGGGACAGAGUGGGACAGGGGUGUCAGCAGCAGAGGGGGUGGCAGCUGAGGGCUGGGGGGCAGCUGGAGACUUGGUUAGAGACAGGGUAGGGGUAAGCAAUGGAGCCGCGGCUGUCGAGCAAGGGGUGAACCAGGAGGGAAGGGAGCUGGCACCAGCGGGGGCCAAGGGUCAGGCUGAGAUAGACACAGCACAUGUCAUGUCCCCACAGCAUGGAGAGAUGUUCCCUGGGGAGCAGCUGAUGGCAGAAACCUCCCUGAGCAGCCCAGCACAAGGGGCCGGGGGAGCGGAACUGGGGGUCACAGGGUCCACAGGAGGUGAAGGGCCAUGCCUGGGCACCCGCCUGCAGCCGGCAGCUCCCGGGACAGGGGCGGACAAGGACAGUGCACAGGAUAGGACAGAGCCAGCAGGGAUGAAAGCAGAGGGGGAGCAGCCAGGCCUCCAUGGAAACAUGCAGGAGAGGGCAGCAGCGGGUGUGUGGGACACAAAUGGGGACAGUGAGCAGAGCCAGGAUGGGCCUGUCGCAGGGAGCCCGGACACCCCAGCAGCUGCAGACCGGAGGAACCGUGGUCCUGGUGAGGAUGUUGUAAACCCAGAGGCAGCUGUCGAGCCUUCAGUACAACCCCAGGACGAGGAAGACACUCUCCUCUAAACUUUUUCUGCAGCUCCUUCAGUGUUGUAUCCUGCAGCAUUUACAUGAAUCUCUGUCGAUUUGUGCCGGUUGGGAUGUCACUUGUUUUUUUACUCCACAAGUACCAUCUGUCACUUUUUACUAGAGCAGCUUCUCAAUGUGCAGCAGACAAUCGAAAUAAACCUGUAUCUGCCAGCCCCGGAAACAGCACUCCUUCAUAAUUAUGAAGACAAUCAUCACAAGGAUUGUUCCACAGCGGUUGUGUUUUUCCCAAAACACAGAGAAAUAUUGGACUGGCUGAGCCUCCCCUCCUGGGUUCUGGGGGCUGCCAUGUUUGCAGGAUACAGAUGAGCUUUGAUCCAUGGUGAGGAACCAGCCCUUGUCCCCUGGCCGUGCACCCCGCGAUGCUCUGGGGGUUCCCCCUGCACCCCGUUCCCCUCACUUGGUCUCACCCUGGUGGAGCCACUGGCAGCUCCUCGGGAUGACACAGACACAGGGUGACAUGAGCCAGGUUUGUGCUGGGAUGGUGUGUUAUUGUUCAUGUGUCUGGGACCUUUCAGGCUACUGAUUUGUAAAGUGGUCAGAGAGCUGGGACCAAAUGUGGAAUUGAGCUGAAUUUGACAGUUUUGGCCCCAGAGAACUGCCCUGAUGCUGUUGGUGUGGCUGCUAAUGAUGAACCAUUUGUGUGCUUUUAAAACAGGAGUAAAUCUCUAAUCUGAACAGGUGGGAUUUCGUUAAGAAGCAAAACCACUGAAAUGGAUGAUUGCAUAGUUUUGGAAAUGCUACCCAUGGUAAUUUCUUCUGUCCAUUUCCAGUUAGUAAUUAACUUCAAAGUGAAAAAAUGCAGGUGACACCUUAGGGAAAAACAAGAUGUGCAGGAAAAAAAAACUAAAAAGAGACUAAUUAUCAAACUAAACAUAUGUGAGAAAAGCAAACUAAGCAUUGCCACAGGAAAACCUCAUUUUUGGCUCAUUAGAAAGGCAUUUUAAAACUCUGUUAGCUGUCAGGCAUUCUCAGUAGCUUGUCACUGGAUGCUGAUGGUUGUGUCUCAAAUGUCUCGUUAUGGUGCACGCAGCUCAAAUCGUCCCCAGUGACAUUGCAGAGGCUGAACAGCUGCAUUUCAGCAGCAGAGCCAAGAAAUGUUUUGUUGGACACCAGUUUAUUUUAAUCUAGAUCACCUGUUACUGAUGUAUUAAACAAUUAAAACCAUUGCUACAGCUACCAGGCAUGGGCUGGUCUGAAAAGCAGGCUAAGUGUCUUUGGAGCUUCUCAUUCUUUAUAAAUAUUUCAAUGUGCUGGGAUCCUUGCGCUUCUCUGGGAACAAAAUAAUUUCAUUCCCACAAAUAACUUCAGAGCAUGUUCUAUGCAGUAAUUUACAUUUUUCAGACUUUUCAUAUGUAUUAAUAACCGAUCACUCCUAUGAAACAUGCUUUCUCCUAAGCCUGAUGUUUCUCCUGUAGAGUCCAAUUAACUAAGACAUUGUUUGCUUCAAGGAGCCACUAAUUUUAAUUACUAGUGAAAUUAUUUGCAAGCAGCUGGCCUUGUAAAGAGCUCUCUAAAUUACAGUUUUGCCUUCAGAAGCUUUCUGAUUUUUGUUGUUGGUUCUGCAUGUCCACCUCUGAGCAUUUCCCCGGAGCUACUGGGAGCUCGUACCAGCAGCUCAGGUACUGCUGAGCGCACUGAGGUGUUAACGCCAAUGAACUCUGCUCCUUAUAGCUUCUGGUUUUCAGGAACCAAAAACGACAACUGUUUGGGUUAAAAACAUCUUCCUUGAUCAGCUUCUGGCUGUUGGUGAACUGGAGAGAAAGUGGUGGUACCAUCUGCAGUACUUGAUGUGCAGCUUUAUUUCCCUUUCUUCCUCAAUGAUUUUUUUCAGAAAGUGAAACAAAACAAAUGAGAAAACACCUGUAAACCUCGCUAAGUGAAAUAUUCCCCAUUUUUAUUGCUUCAGGACUGUGGAAUUAAUGACAUGCAUGGACAAUGUAAGGCAGCAGAACCUACAGUUCAGGUGUGAUGCCUCAUCACAGACCUUGGUCAGCGGUUGUAGGAAACCAACAUCCUGAAUAACAUCCACAGAUCAACACACGGCAGUUGUGAACACCAAUUUCUACUGGGCCAAUACGACAGUUGUGUCCUUGAGUCUGCUUAAGGAAGAAUAUUAAAGCAGGAUCACUUGCAGCUACAUUUUCCUAAUUUGAAAAAAUACCUCAGAAACUAACAGCAUAAUUAACUCUGUAAUUGCCUCUAGAAGAAGAGUUCAAGUUAUCCUGCCCUACUUUUUUUUCUUUAACUGUUAUUUUUUUAAAAUUUCCAGUGAUCAGAGCUGCUGUUGAAAAGCCCAGUUGUGGCACCAGCUGGAACUCU